This 253-nucleotide ribosomal RNA is filed under the name uncultured prokaryote. RNAcentral describes it as "partial 16S ribosomal RNA". It matches the Rfam family "Bacterial small subunit ribosomal RNA", at positions 525 to 777 of the family's 1533-position model. The record is from RNAcentral.
ACGAAGGGUGCAAGCGUUACUCGGAAUUACUGGGCGUAAAGCGUGCGUAGGUGGUUCGUUAAGUCUGUCGUGAAAGCCCCGGGCUCAACCUGGGAAUGGCGAUGGAUACUGGCGGGCUAGAGUGCGGUAGAGGAGAGUGGAAUUCCCGGUGUAGCAGUGAAAUGCGUAGAGAUCGGGAGGAACAUCGGUGGCGAAGGCGGCCAUCUGGACGACAACUGACGCUGAGACGCGAAAGCGUGGGGAGCAAACAGGA